This 2406-nucleotide unclassified non-coding RNA is filed under the name Amphimedon queenslandica. Its description in RNAcentral is "uncharacterized LOC109586463, transcript variant X1". Lineage: Eukaryota; Metazoa; Porifera; Demospongiae; Haplosclerida; Niphatidae. The record is from RNAcentral.
UCGUGCUAACUUGCUUUCACCUCAUUUGUCACUUACUGUCAUCCAAAGCCUACAAAACUAACAUCGGUCAUUUUCAAAUUUGGGGCCGGUGUUUUGGCUUUAUGUUUGGCUGUAGUAUCUCUGAUAGCGGUGUAACCUGACUAUGGAAGGGCAUGGGACCCGUGAGGGACGCGGCAGGAGCGCUACUAGUCAAGAUAACCAAGUUACAGCUGUUGAUGCACUUGCAGGUGCUCUCGUUAAUGUUGUGAGGCAGUCUUUAAGGUCAGGAAUGGAACCAUCAACAAGUCAAGAAGCUACUAGACCAGUCACAGAAUUCCAAAGAGCUGCGAAGAGACCAAAACUAUCUCCCCCAUCAUUGUUUAAUUCCCGCCAGGUUCACCCUUAUCAAUCAAGGAAAAGAAAGGAAACCGCUAGGUCCACUCCCAAAGUAACUAACUAUGUUCGAGAUAUCAUACUGUUACCUGAUGAGUUUGAGAAUGAAACUGGUAGUGUUUGUAUCCCACGAUCAAACAAUAGAGAAAUGCUUGGAAAAGCUGGUCUUGUUGGUAAAAUUGAACUUAGUUCAGAUAAGACAGAAGAUGAAGUAAGAACAGAAAUAUGUGAGCUAUUUGCUGUACCGAUGGGCCUAACUACUGAUAAUAUUAAAGACGGCAUCCGUUUUAAGUUUCAUUAUUUACAACGAGCUGGGUGCAACACAAGAUCAUUAUGUAAACCUACUGUGAAAGACACAUUUCAAUGGAAUGGAAAGCAAGUGGCGUCAUUGGCAAAAUCUGGUUCUUUCAUUUAUUUGUUGGCAGCUGAGCACCUUCCUGGUUGGACCAGAUUUGCGGAGAAAGAUGAAAUGGUAAAUGAGGAGGCCCAUGAAAUGAUAGAUAGUGAUUCAGAUGAUUUACCUAGACUUCCUGAAAGUUUUUUUAGUACACAUUCAUCACCAAGUCAAAGAAGUAAUGAUCAUGACAUUAUCAUAAUUGGUAGUACACCUGCCUCAGCACCACAAACACCAUCAACAGAUCAUCCAGCAUUUGAUGCCACUGAUACAUCUAGCCCUCAACCUUACACAAUUGAAUCUUCCGUCAGUUGCGAGCUAGGUACAAGUAGCAGUGGAUCAAACUCGACCGUGGCUGAUCUUGUAGCAAUGUUUGAUGGAGUACUCACUGAGCAGCAAGUGGCUGUCAUUUACCAGUUUUCAGGCUGUAAUCGCAUAUCAGCUUCAUCUUGCUUAUUGGAAGGUCCUCUUUUGUCUUCAAUUAUCAAUAUGUGCAAGCAGUAUUUUUCAGGCUUGCCAACCAAGAAACUGUUUGUAGAUUCAGAAAGUUAUUGGGAAGAUAUGGUAGCAGAGUACAAAGGGCAAGCGAAUAGUUUUUUCAAGCUCAGAAUAUCAAUAGUUAACCAGCCUGCCAUAGAUACAGGAGGUGUGCGUAGGCAAAUUUACACAAGUGUCUUCGAGUCAUUUGCUUCAAAUAAAUAUAUCCAUCUCUUUGAUGGGCCUUUAAAUUAUCUAAGACCCUCCUGCUCAGCUGAAGCUAAACUAUCUGGUUUGCUGAAAGUAUUGGGAUCAAUGAUUUCACACAGUUUUUGUCAAGAUGGUUUGGGCUUUCCAUACUUAUCACCCCUUUGCUAUUGGUACAUAGUUGGAGGAGAGGAAAAGGCAUUAGAAUACAGUUCUGUUGAUGAUAUACCAGCUGAUGCAGCUCAAGUCAUAACUUUGAUGAAUCAAUGUGUUUGUAAUGAAGAUUUAAGCAAUUUGAUGAGCAACGAGGUAGUGCAAGAUGUUUUCCAGCGAUGUAGUAUUACUCAAGUAUUGAAGAUGUCAAAUAAAGAUGUUAUUGCACAGUGUAUCAUUACUUAUGAAGCUGUUGAACGGAUUUCUAAAUCCCUUGAUCAGUUAUGUGAAGGAUUGAGUAACUUGGGCCUUUCAGAUGUUAUUCGUGCUUUUCCUCAUUUAUUUCUCAGUAUUUUUGUGUUCAGUGGUACAGUGACUUCACAAGAUGUUAUAGAUGCUGUGUACAUGCCAGACCCAGUAAAUAAAACAAUAUUGGCUCAUUUGAAACGAUAUAUUGUAUCUUUAUCGGAAGAUGAAUUGAAGAUGUUUUUAGUCCAUGCUACUGGAUCCACUUAUCCAAUAAAUAGGUCCAUUAGAGUAGAAGUAAAUGAGGAUAAUCGCUUCUCUUGUCAUACCUGCGCCAAGAUGUUAUCAGUCCCUCAAAGUUAUGACGAUUCUGAGGAUGGAUAUCUACAAUUUUCAGAAAAUUUUUCUGCUGUCAUAACAGACACAUCAUUUAAUACUGUAUAACUCAUAUUCUGUGUCCUGUCUCUCUCAAGCUUAGCAUUUAUGUUUCAGUACUGACAUCAUCAAGUAGUUCAUUCAAUCCAAUUCAAGUUUCAAGCUAUGAAGUAUUAUUGUUG